RNAcentral lists this transfer RNA (74 nucleotides) under Cucumis melo subsp. agrestis. Its description in RNAcentral is "tRNA-Glu". The record is from RNAcentral. Lineage: Eukaryota; Viridiplantae; Streptophyta; Magnoliopsida; Cucurbitales; Cucurbitaceae.
GGGAUUGAGGUUCAAUUGGUCAGAGCACCGCCCUCUCAAGGCGGCCCCCUCAGUCCCGAGAAAAUCCAAUCCUA